UUCCAGACUCCUACGGGAGGCAGCAGUGAGGAAUAUUGGUCAAUGGGCGGAAGCCUGAACCAGCCAAGUCGCGUGAGGGAAUAAGGCCCUACGGGUCGUAAACCUCUUUUGCCGGGGAGCAAGGGCGGGGACGUGUCCCGGCCCGGAGAGUACCCGGAGAAAAAGCAUCGGCUAACUCCGUGCCAGCAGCCGCGGUAAUACGGAGGAUGCGAGCGUUAUCCGGAUUUAUUGGGUUUAAAGGGUGCGUAGGCGGGCUUUUAAGUCAGCUGUGAAAGUCCGCGGCUCAACCGUGGAAUUGCAGUUGAAACUGGAGGCCUUGAGUGCACACAGGGAUGCCGGAAUUCAUGGUGUAGCGGUGAAAUGCUUAGAUAUCAUGAAGAACUCCGAUUGCGAAGGCAGCAUGCCGGCUCCACACUGACGCUGAGGCACGAAAGCGUGGGUAUCGAACAGGAUUAGAUACCCUAGUA
Molecule: ribosomal RNA, 467 nt
Filed under: uncultured bacterium
Lineage: Bacteria
Description: bacterial SSU rRNA
Rfam family: Bacterial small subunit ribosomal RNA
Source: RNAcentral